Molecule: unclassified non-coding RNA, 387 nt
Filed under: soil metagenome
Description: partial contains 5.8S ribosomal RNA, internal transcribed spacer 2, and large subunit ribosomal RNA
Rfam family: 5.8S ribosomal RNA (bases 1-120)
Source: RNAcentral
GAUGAAGAACGUAGCGAAAUGCGAUAAGUAAUGUGAAUUGCAGAAUUCAGUGAAUCAUCGAAUCUUUGAACGCACCUUGCACCCUUUGGUAUUCCGAAGGGUAUGCUCGUUUGAGUGUCAUUGUACUCUCACACUUCUAAUUCCUUUCGGGAUUGGGAGCGGUGGACUUGGGUGUUGCUGCUUUAGUUGUGGCUCACCUCAAAUAAGUUAGUGCAACUCUUGGUUGGACAUAGUACGGCGUGAUAAGUGUCUUCGCCGGCGCCUCUGUAAGGAGGGUGGCCGAUCGGGAGCUCUGUGCUUCAAACCGUCUUCGGACAAUCUUUGACGACUUGACCUCAAAUCGAGUAGGACUACCCGCUGAACUUAAGCAUAUCAAUAAGCGGAGGA